UAAUACCAGCUCCCCGAGUGGUCGGGACGAUUAUUUGGCCUAAAGCAUCCGUAGCUGGCCUGAUAAGUUCCCCGUUAAAUCCAGCGAUCCAAUCGUUGGGCCGCGGGAAAUACUGUCAGACUAGGAGGCGGGAGAGGCCGGCGGUAUUUCCGGGGGAGGGGUGAAAUCCUAUAAUCCCGGGAGGACCACCAGUGGCGAAGGCGGCCGGCUAGAACGCGCUCGACAGUGAGGGAUGAAAGCUGGGGGAGCGAACCGGAUUAGAUACCCGGGUAGUCCCAGCCGUAAACGAUGCGGGCUAGGUGUUGGACCGGCUACGAGCCAGUUCAGUGCCGAAUGGAAGCAACUAAGCCCGCCGCCUGGGAAGUACGGUCGCAAGGCUG
RNAcentral lists this ribosomal RNA (380 nucleotides) under uncultured archaeon. RNAcentral describes it as "bacterial SSU rRNA". It matches the Rfam family "Archaeal small subunit ribosomal RNA", at positions 471 to 851 of the family's 1478-position model. The record is from RNAcentral.